AGUGAACGCUGGCGGUAGGCCUAACACAUGCAAGUCGAACGGCAGCACAGUAAGAGCUUGCUCUUACGGGUGGCGAGUGGCGGACGGGUGAGGAAUACAUCGGAAUCUACUUUUUCGUGGGGGAUAACGUAGGGAAACUUACGCUAAUACCGCAUACGACCUACGGGUGAAAGCAGGGGAUCUUCGGACCUUGCGCGAUUGAAUGAGCCGAUGUCGGAUUAGCUAGUUGGCGGGGUAAAGGCCCACCAAGGCGACGAUCCGUAGCUGGUCUGAGAGGAUGAUCAGCCACACUGGAACUGAGACACGGACCAGACUCCUACGGGAGGCAGCAGUGGGGAAUAUUAGGCAAUGGGCGCAAGCCUGAUCCAGCCAUACCGCGUGGGUGAAGAAGGCCUUCGGGUUGUAAAGCCCUUUUGUUGGGAAAGAAAAGCAGCAGGUUAAUACCCCGCUGUUCUGACGGUACCCAAAGAAUAAGCACCGGCUAACUUCGUG
This 492-nucleotide ribosomal RNA is filed under the name uncultured bacterium. Its description in RNAcentral is "partial 16S ribosomal RNA". It matches the Rfam family "Bacterial small subunit ribosomal RNA", at positions 29 to 507 of the family's 1533-position model. The record is from RNAcentral.